RNAcentral lists this ribosomal RNA (449 nucleotides) under uncultured soil bacterium. RNAcentral's name for it is "bacterial SSU rRNA". It matches the Rfam family "Bacterial small subunit ribosomal RNA", at positions 26 to 476 of the family's 1533-position model. The record is from RNAcentral.
AGGACGAACGCUGGCGGCGUGCUUAACACAUGCAAGUCGAGCGACAGUGUUCUUCGGAACAUAUGGAGCGGCGAACGGGUGAGUAACACGUGGGCAACCUGCCCCUAGCUCUGGGAUAACUCCGGGAAACCGGGGCUAAUACCGGAUACGAUCUUCCAUGGCAUCUCGGAAGAUGGAAAGUUUUUUCGGCUAGGGAUGGGCCCGCGGCCUAUCAGCUUGUUGGUGAGGUAACGGCCCACCAAGGCGACGACGGGUAGCCGGCCUGAGCGGGCGACGGGCCACGACGUGGGACUGAGACACGGCCCAGACUCCUACGGGAGGCAGCAGUGGGGAAUAGUUGCGCAAGUGGGCGAAAGCCUGACGCAGCGACGCCGCGUGAGGGAUGAAGGUCCUUCGGGUUAUAAACCCGUUCGUUUCAGCGAGGACGAAGACGAGAGUCGACGGUCCGU